RNAcentral lists this ribosomal RNA (458 nucleotides) under uncultured bacterium. RNAcentral's name for it is "SSU rRNA". It matches the Rfam family "Bacterial small subunit ribosomal RNA", at positions 26 to 518 of the family's 1533-position model. The record is from RNAcentral.
AGAAUCAACGCUGGCGGCGUGCCUAACACAUGCAAGUCGAACGAGAAAGUGGAGCAAUCCAUAAGUAAAGUGGCGCACGGGUGAGUAACACGUGACUAACCUACCCUGGAGUGGGGAAUAACUGAGGGAAACCUUAGCUAAUACCGCAUAACACCUACGGGUCAAAGGAGCAAUUCGCUUUGGGAGGGGGUCGCGGCAGAUUAGCUAGUUGGCGGGGUAAUGGCCCACCAAGGCGAUGAUCUGUAUCCGGCCUGAGAGGGCGCACGGACACACUGGAACUGAAACACGGUCCAGACUCCUACGGGAGGCAGCAGUGGGGAAUUUUGCGCAAUGGGGGAAACCCUGACGCAGCAACGCCGCGUGGAGGAUGAAGUCCCUUGGGACGUAAACUCCUUUCGAUCGGGACGAUAAUGACGGUACCGGAAGAAGAGCCCGGCUAACUUCGUGCCAGCAGCCGC